CCGUUUCGGUGUGCACUGUCUUUCUGCGUCUUUCUGUCGGGGACGCGCUUCUGGCCUUAAUUGGCUGGGACGUGGAUUCGACGAGGUUACUUUGAAAAAAUUAGAGUGUUCAAAGCAAGCUAAAGCUCUGAAUACAUUAGCAUGGAAUAACGCGAGAGGACUCGGUCCUUAUUUUGUUGGUCUUCAAGGAUGGAGUAAUGAUUAAGAGGGACAGUUGGGGGCAUUCGUAUUUCAUUGCUAGAGGUGAAAUUCUUGGAUUUAUGAAAGGCGAACUUCUGCGAAAGCAUUUGCCAAGGAUGUUUUCAUUGAUCAAGAACGAAAGUUGGGGGCUCGAAGAUGAUCAGAUACCAUCCUAGUCUCAACCAUAAACGAUGCCGACUAGGGAUUGGCAGGUGUUACAUCGAUGGCUCUGCCAGCACCUUAUGAGAAAUCAAAGUUUUUGGGUUCCGGGGGGAGUAUGGUCGCAAGGCUGAAACUUAAAGGAAUUGACGGAAGGGCACCACCAGGAGUGGAGCCUGCGGCUUAAUUUGACUCAACACGGGGAAACUUACCAGGUCCAGACAUAGUAAGGAUUGACAGAUUGAGAGCUCUUUCUUGAUUCUAUGGGUGGUGGGUGCAUGGCCGUUCUUAGUUGGUGGAGUGAUUUGUCUGGGUUAAUUCCGUUAACGA
This 669-nucleotide ribosomal RNA is filed under the name Pycnococcus provasolii. RNAcentral describes it as "SSU rRNA". It matches the Rfam family "Eukaryotic small subunit ribosomal RNA", at positions 664 to 1334 of the family's 1831-position model. The record is from RNAcentral. Lineage: Eukaryota; Viridiplantae; Chlorophyta; Pseudoscourfieldiophyceae; Pseudoscourfieldiales; Pycnococcaceae.